Epinephelus moara (kelp grouper) is the source of this 5283-nucleotide RNA transcript. RefSeq lists it as uncharacterized. The transcript has 2 exons. The record is from RefSeq and is a predicted model, not a curated record. NCBI's taxonomy places the organism in Eukaryota, Metazoa, Chordata, Actinopteri, Perciformes, Serranidae.
UAGAUAUGUAUGAAUGACAUGAUAUAUAGUAUAGAUGGAUGUAAUGUGUGUAUAUGUAUGAAUACAUAUAGUAUAUACGAUGUAAUGUAUCCUUUAAUAUAUAUGGUGUGUUUGUAUACUGUACAUCCUUAUAUAAUGUACAUUGUAUAGGGAUUGGGAUAUGGUAUAUGGUAUAUUGGAUAAUGAAGAAUGGAUAUAUAAUGUAUAAUGAUUUGCAGAAUGUAUUAGAUACAAACACUGUAUUGGAUAUAGUUUUUAUAAUCGAGAAAGGAUGAGACACAAGUGAGGAAGUGUUAGCUCACUUUGCUCUUAUUUAGUUUUAUUUCUAUUUUUUGGGGGGGGAAGUGUAAAGAUCACUUUGUUUUCUGUUUAAUUUUGCCUAUAAUGUUUUUUAUGUUUUCUGAUUGUAUUUAUAAUUGUCGGACCCCAGGAAGAAUAGCUGUAGUAGUACUGCAGCUAAUGGGGAUCUUAAUAAAGAACAAAGAUCAUCAGUAUGAAGACGCGAGUUCACCGAGUGCUCAGAGCACAUGAAACUGUGAGUAAUGACAAUCCCCACCCUGCUCGGCUAAGUAACGUUAGCGCAAGCUCUGCCUCUCAACACAGUAAUCCGACAGUGAGACUGCCAAAGCUAAUGAUCGAAAAAUUCAACGGAGAUGUAAGUUUAUGGCAGGAAUUUUGGAUCCAGUACGAGACUGCUAUUCACAGUAAUGAUGCCCUAUGCAAAAGAGAGAAGUUUACCUACCUGAAAACGUACCUCUCAGGAACGGCUGCAAAGACAAUAGCAGGGCUCACCUUGACAGACAGUAACUAUGAUGCUGCCAUUGAUAUACUCCAAAACAGUUUUGGAAGGAAAGAUCUCAUUGUAAACGCCCACAUGCCAAAGCUGUUGAAUCUCACUCCUGUGAAGAUUAUAUGAUGAAUGCGAAAUUCAAAUCAGAAGCCUAGAAUCACUGGGAGUGGUAUCAGACACCUACGGAGGCAUGUUAUGCCCAAUACUGCUCCAGAUGAUGCCGGAGGACCUGGCUCUGGAUUACAGCGAUCAGAGGGGAGAUGAUGAUGAGUGGAGAGUGCCUCAUGUGCUGAAGUUCCUACAGAAAGAGGUUCUGAGGAGCUGAGAGAGAGCUUUGCAAAUGGUGAGAUCAUAUAACCUGAGAGAGAGCCAGUCUGCUCACAAAACAUGCAGCAAAUCAUAUUCAGCCAGCGACAAGAAACUAAAGAAACCAAGCAUGACAUCAGCGGCAGCACUUCACACUGCCAACCAGAAGACACAAAACUGCCUGUUCUGUGAUAGUGCUGAACACAAAUCUGAAAUCUGUCCAGACCACCAGGUGGCAGCAUUUAAGGAAAAGCUGAAGAAGCUUGGCAGGUGCUAUGUGUGUCUAGGACCCAAACACAUUGCAAAGUUCUGCAGGUCAAAGGGUGUGUCAUGUGCCACAUGUGGAGGCAGGCAUCAUGCAGUGAUUUGUGAGAAAGUUGAGGCACCCCCACCUGCCGUUUCUGAAAACACAGACACUGUUAUUUCUUCAGUAAUUCCCCAAGCAGAAAAAAGCAAGCCUGAUAUAAUGAGAACACUGUGCUGCUACAAAACGCCAAGGCGUGGGUCGUAGGGCCCACAGGCAGGAAGAUAGUCUGCUGCUUGUUAGAUGGAGGCAGCCAGGGGAGUUUUGUACAUGAGAAUGUGGUAAGGGCGCUGAAGUUACCUGUCACUAAACAAGGGGCAUUCACUCUCCACACAUUUGGCUCCUCUGCUCCAACAACAGUGAAGCGCAACAUAGGGAAGCUCAGCUUGGAGAAUGUCUCGGAUAAACGGCAGAACAUUGAAAUAGAGGCAGUUGUGACCCCUCAAGUGUGUACGGCAGUGAUGAAAGUCCCUGGUGAGCAUAUACAGAAAGAGAUGAAAAAGAGAGGUCUCCAACUCGCAGAUUUCCCUGGAGAGGACAAACCUGAACUUUCUGUGCUGAUUGGCUCAGAUUACUACUGGCAGAUAGUAUCGGGCCGAGUAGAGAGACUGACAGAGAGCCUGGUGACGCUAGAGAGCACCUUCGGAUGGGCAGUGCAGGGCCCAGUAGCAGUAUCCAGCAUGACAGAGACAACAUGUAUGCAUAUUCAGCUCAGUGAGGAUGCACAGAUUGACCAGCAGCUGCAUGCAUUCUGGGAGCUUGAGUCACUGGGCAUCACAAGUGAGAAGCCUGAGAGCCCAGAGGAUGUGGAAGCGUUGCAGCGAUUCGAGGAAACCUCCAUCUUCAAGGGUGGGCGUUACCAAGUGGAGUUGCCAUGGCAACAAAACCAUCCUCCACUCCAGGACAAUUACCGCAUCGCAAAAAAAAACAGCUUGAGGGUUUGAAACGGAAACUAAGAAAGGAUGUCACACUUUACAGCAGAUACAACGAUGUAGUGGAGGACUACUUAAAACAAGGAAUGGCUGAGGAUGUGCCUAAGGAGCAUACAUCACCACCAAGCAGUGAGACAUAUUACUUACCUCAUCACACUGUAUUGUGGGCGGAUAAGGUGACAACAAAACUGUGGGUCGUGUUUGAUGCUUCAUCCCACGAAGAAGGAAGUCCCUCACUAAAUGACUGUCUUUUAACAGGACCCAAUCUGAAUCCAGAUCUGAUGAGUGUUUUGAUCAAGCUCAGACUGCAUGAAAUAGCAUACAUUGCAGACAUCAAGAAAGCAUUUCUGCAGAUAUCACUGUCAGAACGAGACCGGGAUGCUGUGAGAUUUCUGUGGUUCACAGGCCCACCAACAGAGGAGAAGGAUGAGAAGCUGCGCGUGCUGAGAAUGACAAGAGUGGUGUUUGGAGCUUCGUCAAGCCCAUUCUUACUUGCAGCCACCGUAAGGAAGCAUUUGAAACCAUACGAGCCAGAACACCCACAAGUGGUAGAAACCAUCAGCUCCUCACUUUAUGUGGAUGACUUUAUUUCAAGUGCAAGUGAGGUGACAGAGGCUCAUGCAGUGACAACAACAGCCAAGAACAUUAUGUCUGCUGCGGGCAUGGAUCUAUGCAAAUGGAUGACGAACUCUCCUGAGCUCAAAGAAAAAUGGCAGGAAAGCCUGAUGGAUUGCACGUUAGAGCCAGAGACACAUGGGUCAGUGCUGAAAGUUCUGGGCUUGGUGUGGAGACCAGCAACUGAUGAUUUUGUGUUUGACCUUAGGGGGCUGCUUGUUAUACAGAACGAAAGAGAGAACACAAAACGAAGUGUUUUGAAGUCCUCUGCUCUCAUUUUCGACCCUCUGGGAUUCUUGACCCCCUUCACCAUCAGGAUAAAAUGCCUGUUUCAGGAAAUGUAGGAGAGAGGGCUCAAGUGGGACGAGGAACUGCCACCUGAUUUGACAAAAAAAUGGCAGCAGUGGUGUUCAGAGCUCCCUCAACUGCACCAGCUGUCAAUCCCACAGUGGUACAAAACACACACGCAGCAGCAGAAUGACCAAGAUCUAAGGCUACACUUAUUCUGUGACGCCAGUGAAAAGGCGUAUAGUGCAGUGGCUUAUCUGCAGGGAGAGACAAAGGAUGGAGAAAUGACCAUAAGCCUGGUUGCAUCCAAGUCCAAAGUGGCUCCACUCAAAAGGAUGACACUGCCACGUCUGGAGCUGAUGGGAGCUGUAAUAGCAGCCAGGCUGGGGAGCACCCUCAUGAAAGCCCUGGAACUAGACAGAACACAACUCAGACUAUGGACAGACUCCAUGUUAGUGCUACACUGGAUUUGCAGUUCUGCUCACAAGUGGAAACAGUUUGUAUUAAACAGAGUGACAGAAAUCCAGUCUCAAACCAACCCAAAGUCAUGGUCACACUGCCAAGGGAAAAUGAACCCUGCUGACCUUCCCACCAGAGGUCUAACGGUGCAGGAUCUGAAGCAGAGCACAUUGUGGUGGAACGGACCUUGUGUUCUGAUGUCACCUGAGCAGUCAGAGAGCACUCAGGAUGCUGUUCAGGAAGAUGAGAUGAACUCUGAACUCAGAUCCAAAUACCAGGUUGCUGUACAGCUUGUUAAUCAAGACACAGAGCUCCUUAAACCUGUGUUAUAUCUGGAAAGGUACAGUAAACUGAAAACAGUGUUCCGAGUGACAGCCUGGAUAAAGAGGUUUAAAAACAACACACGCUCAAGCACAAAAAUGUGUGGUGAACUGACAGCAGAAGAGCUGCAUGAAGCAGAAAAACAAUGGAUGAAAGUAACUCAGAACCAGAGUUUCCGCCCAGAAACUGCCCUUCUGAAGGCAGGAAAAUUCCUCAACACUGACUCCAGAAUCCGAGAGCUAAAACCAUUUCUGGAUGAAGAUGAGCUGCUCAGUGUGGGAGGAAGGCUCCAGCAUUCUGAUUUUUCUUACAGAGAAAAGCAUACAUGGAUUUUGCCCGAUGACCACAGAUACACAGAAAUGUGCAGUAUCAACAUGAGAAGAUAAUGCACGCAGGUGUACGAGACACUUUAGUGCAGACCAGAGAAAGAUACUGGACCAUGAGGGCACGGCAGGUAGUCAGGAAAGUUGUGUCCAGAUGUGUACUUUGCAGGAAAUUCAAAGCAAAGGCGGGACAACAGACUACAGCACCACUGCCAAAGAACAGAAUAACAGAGUCACCACCAUUCAAGGUCACAGUUGUGGACUUCGCAGGGCUGCUCUAUGUGAAGGCGCAGGGCUCCAUGACAAAGUCAUACAUUGCACUGUUCACAUGUGCUGUAACCAGAACGGUACACUUAGAGCUGGUCUCGGAUCUGUCCACUGAGAACUUUAUGCUGGCCCUGAAAAGAUUCAUCUCGAGAAGAGGGUUAUGCAAGGUUAUCUACUCAGAUAAUGCCAAGACAUUUAAGAGAGCUGAUCAAGACUUGAAGGAGCUGUGGAGAAGCAUUAAGGAUCCUCAGCUACGAUAGUUCUUCUCAGAAAAGGGCAUCACCUGGCGGUUCAUCGCUGAAAGAGCGGCCUGGUGGGGCGGAUUCUGGGAGAGGCUUGUAAGAUGGAAAUACUUCUGAAUCAGAUCCUCUUCUGUGGGGCUGUCCUAUGCUGACCCUGACAAACAAAGGGAGAAAAAGAUCAAGAGACAACAUUUUCAGCAAGAACAGGCUGCAGCACAUUAUCCAGUCUGCAGAGAAGACCUUCAGCUGCAAUCUGCCGUGUCUUGUGGACCUGUACACAUUGGGCCUCAUUCUGCAAACAAAUUUAGAACUUCCUCAGACCAUGCGUAUGCAUAAAUUAUGACAGCCUGGCUGUCUUACAAAAUAUUGAAACUUGCCUUUUAACUAAAUGUAAAGCAUAUCAAAACCACAUUCAUUAAAAAAAACUUUAAUAGAA